AAUCUUCCGCAAUGGACGCAAGUCUGACGGAGCAACGCCGCGUGAGCGAUGAAGGUCUUCGGAUCGUAAAGCUCUGUUGUCAGGGAAGAACACGUGUGAGAGUAACUGCUCACACCGUGACGGUACCUGACCAGAAAGCCACGGCUAAUUACGUGCCAGCAGCCGCGGUAAUACGUAGGUGGCAAGCGUUGUCCGGAAUUAUUGGGCGUAAAGCGCGCGCAGGCGGUCUUUUAAGUCUGAUGUGAAAUCUUACAGCUUAACUGUAAGCGGUCAUUGGAAACUGGGAGACUUGAGUGCAGAAGAGGAGAGUGGAAUUCCAUGUGUAGCGGUGAAAUGCGUAGAGAUAUGGAGGAACACCAGUGGCGAAGGCGACUCUCUGGUCUGUAACUGACGCUGAGGCGCGAAAGCGUGGGGAUCAAACA
Molecule: ribosomal RNA, 422 nt
Filed under: uncultured bacterium
Lineage: Bacteria
Description: partial 16S ribosomal RNA
Rfam family: Bacterial small subunit ribosomal RNA
Source: RNAcentral